Molecule: unclassified non-coding RNA, 242 nt
Filed under: Hevea brasiliensis (rubber tree)
Lineage: Eukaryota; Viridiplantae; Streptophyta; Magnoliopsida; Malpighiales; Euphorbiaceae
Source: RNAcentral
CUCCUUCUUUGAGACCCAAUGCUGUCCUGAAGCUUUUGCCAGGAGGAAUGACUGCCCCUUCAAGGCCAGUUGAUGUGUCAUCGACGAAUUUGCCACGGUCACCCAAUGCUCCUAUGGCUCCGAGCAAAGUGAAAAGGAUGAAGAAUAGAAGAAGUGGUUCUGCUUCGUAAAUGGGAAUUCCAGUCUCUAGAUUCAACUGUGCUAGGAUUCCCUUUCCCGUUAUUGCUUCACCCAACAAGGAU